RNAcentral lists this ribosomal RNA (460 nucleotides) under uncultured bacterium. Its description in RNAcentral is "partial 16S ribosomal RNA". It matches the Rfam family "Bacterial small subunit ribosomal RNA", at positions 338 to 795 of the family's 1533-position model. The record is from RNAcentral.
CCUACGGGUGGCAGCAGUGAGGAAUAUUGGUCAAUGGACGCGAGUCUGAACCAGCCAAGUAGCGUGAAGGAUGACUGCCCUAUGGGUUGUAAACUUCUUUUAUAAGGGAAUAAAAUGAGCCACGUGUGGCUUUUUGUAUGUACCUUAUGAAUAAGGAUCGGCUAACUCCGUGCCAGCAGCCGCGGUAAUACGGAGGAUCCGAGCGUUAUCCGGAUUUAUUGGGUUUAAAGGGAGCGUAGGUGGGUUGUUAAGUCAGUUGUGAAAGUUUGCGGCUCAACCGUAAAAUUGCAGUUGAUACUGGCAGACUUGAGUACAGUAGAGGUAGGCGGAAUGCGUGGUGUAGCGGUGAAAUGCUUAGAUAUCACGAAGAACUCCGAUUGCGAAGGCAGCUCACUAAACUGCAACUGACAUUGAGGCUCGAAAGUGUGGGUAUCAAACAGGAUUAGAUACCCCUGUAGUC